RNAcentral lists this transfer RNA (91 nucleotides) under Monodelphis domestica (gray short-tailed opossum). It matches the Rfam family "tRNA". Rfam says of the family: Transfer RNA (tRNA) molecules are approximately 80 nucleotides in length. The record is from Rfam by way of RNAcentral. Lineage: Eukaryota; Metazoa; Chordata; Mammalia; Didelphimorphia; Didelphidae.
CCUUCGAUAGCUCAGCUGGUAGAGCGGAGGACUGUAGAGGUGCCCGCCCUUGGUUAUCCUUAGGUCGCUGGUUCGAUUCCGGCUCGAAGGA